UACGGAGGGGGCUAGCGUUGUUCGGAAUUACUGGGCGUAAAGCGCACGUAGGCGGAUCAGUCAGUCAGGGGUGAAAUCCCGGGGCUCAACCCCGGAACUGCCUUUGAUACUGCUGGUCUUGAGGUCGAGAGAGGUGAGUGGAAUUCCGAGUGUAGAGGUGAAAUUCGUAGAUAUUCGGAGGAACACCAGUGGCGAAGGCGGCUCACUGGCUCGAUACUGACGCUGAGGCGCGAAAGCGUGGGGAGCAAACAGG
This 253-nucleotide ribosomal RNA is filed under the name uncultured bacterium. Its description in RNAcentral is "partial 16S ribosomal RNA". It matches the Rfam family "Bacterial small subunit ribosomal RNA", at positions 524 to 776 of the family's 1533-position model. The record is from RNAcentral.